CCGAGGCCUGCCCUCUCGGCAGGAGGACGAAUGCUGGGGAGGCAGGGACCGCGCUGCCCUGGGCACAUGCCCAUUCCCCUGGAGCCCCAGGCCCUGCUCUCCAUGCCAGGACACAGGCAGGGUCAGCAAAGGUGAAGGCGGGAACACAGGAGGCCGAGAGCCACAGAUACUGCCCAAGAGGAGCCUCCUGAGCGGCCAUCUGAGAGGAAGCCUCUCCCUGCCAAGGACGCCCAACAGGCCCUACCUGGCGAUGAGCAGCUCCACCAGGUGCAGGUGGCCGCAGGUGGCCGCAGCAUGCAGAGGCGUCCAGCACUCACUGUCACAGGCAUUGAUGUUGGCCCCAGCCUCCAGGAGCUGCUGCACCAUCUCUCGGAAAUCAUCAAUGCAGCACUGCAAACCGUGCCACGUGAGCGACCAGAGCACGGGGGCCAGCCCCCACCCUGCCCACACCCAGUGCAGGCUGACCUGGUGCAGGGCCGUCAGGCCGUCCUCGUUGGCCAAGUCAGGGCUGACCCCACUCCCAAGGAACUGGCGGACUGCAAAAAGGUGGCGAGGCCUCCCGGGAGGGCUCCUGUCCACAUGGAAAGAUGCAGGCCAGACACUGCCGGCUCCUCUUUACUCUCUGCUCCGGAGGGAGGCAGGAAGGAGUCUCAAGGGCCACCACAGUGCCUCUUCCCCCAAGACUCCAGAGCACCAGAAGUGGAACCCACACAGCUGGGGCUGCAAGCGUGGGGCACAGGUCAUUUCGGGCAGCGGCCUCCAGAAGGACAACACUGGGAGGGAAGAGGACCUGCUUCAGGAGCCCUUGGCUGGCUGCCUCC
RNAcentral lists this long non-coding RNA (821 nucleotides) under Homo sapiens (human). RNAcentral describes it as "novel transcript, antisense to PPP1R16A". Lineage: Eukaryota; Metazoa; Chordata; Mammalia; Primates; Hominidae. The record is from RNAcentral.